This 345-nucleotide ribosomal RNA is filed under the name uncultured archaeon. Its description in RNAcentral is "bacterial SSU rRNA". It matches the Rfam family "Archaeal small subunit ribosomal RNA", at positions 385 to 729 of the family's 1478-position model. The record is from RNAcentral.
UGNGAGGGCAUAUUAGCCCUCGCUUUUCUCGACUGUAAGGUGGUCGACGAAUAAGAGCUGGGCAAGACCGGUGCCAGCCGCCGCGGUAAUACCGGCAGCUCAAGUGAUGUCCCAUAUUAUUGGGCCUAAAGCGUCCGUAGCUGGCCGACCAAGUCUCCCGGGAAAUCCACCCGCCCAACGGGUGGGCGUCCGGUAGAAACUGGCCGGCUUGGAACCGGAAGGCUCAGAGAGUACGUCCGGGGUAGGAGUGAAAUCCCGUAAUCCCGGACGGACUACCGAUGGCGAAAGCACUNUGAGAAGACGGNUUCGACAGUGAGGGACGAAAGCNNGGGUCUCAAACCGGAU